This is a long non-coding RNA of Daphnia pulicaria, 486 nucleotides long. RefSeq lists it as uncharacterized. The transcript is spliced from 5 exons. The record is from RefSeq and is a predicted model, not a curated record. Lineage: Eukaryota; Metazoa; Arthropoda; Branchiopoda; Diplostraca; Daphniidae.
CAUGUUGUUUUUUCAUGGUGAAACGAGGCGAAUGAGCGAAACAAAUUGUUGCUAAUUUAUACUUAUUCCUGUGACUUCAAAUACCAAAUAUUGAACUUCGUAUCUUAUGUUCAUACCGUCAGUCAUUCCAACAGGUUGACGUAUCGCUCAGUCAAUUUCCAUCCAUUAGAUCCUCAUGCUGUCUAAAGCCUAAAACUCAUGUUUGAAGCACACAUAUAGUGGAAUACCAAUGUGCCGAGAUAAGGAUCUUUUCUGAAUCUCACAAUUUUGGUGGCAUACCCUGCUACAGCAUGUUUGUUAUUAUGACUGUUUCUACUUCUGGUUAGAAGACAACCCAGCUGAGGGAUAGAGUUUCAGAGAGAUGAAGAGUGUGAAGUGAUCUGCCAUGUAUGUACCAGAUCUGCUUGAUGAAAGUCAAUCAUCUGGAUGAUAAAGCAUCAGGAAGUUUAUCUCAUCAUGUGGAGUUAUGCUGUUGGUUGCUGUGAA